CCUACGGGAGGCAGCAGUGGGGAAUAUUGCGCAAUGGGCGAAAGCCUGACGCAGCGACGCCGCGUGAGGGAUGAAGGUCUUCGGAUCGUAAACCUCUGUCAGCAGGGAAGCACGGUCACUGUGCUAAUCAGCAGUGAAUUGACGGUACCUGCAAAGGAAGCACCGGCUAACUCCGUGCCAGCAGCCGCGUUAAUACGGAGGGUGCGAGCGUUAAUCGGAAUUACUGGGCGUAAAGCGCUCGUAGGCGGUAUGUCAAGUCAAGGGGGAAAUCCCCGGGCUCAACGUGGGAACUGCCUUUGAAACUGGCAAACUGGAGUGUGUGAGAGGAUAGUGGAAUUCCAGGUGUAGGAGUGAAAUCCGUAGAUAUCUGGAGGAACAUCAGUGGCGAAGGCGACUAUCUGGCACAUAACUGACGCUGAGGAGCGAAAGCGUGGGUAGCAAACAGGAUUAGAUACCCCUGUAGUC
Molecule: ribosomal RNA, 465 nt
Filed under: uncultured bacterium
Lineage: Bacteria
Description: partial 16S ribosomal RNA
Rfam family: Bacterial small subunit ribosomal RNA
Source: RNAcentral